Molecule: non-coding RNA, 530 nt
Organism: Bubalus bubalis (water buffalo)
Lineage: Eukaryota; Metazoa; Chordata; Mammalia; Artiodactyla; Bovidae
Source: the annotation of a RefSeq genome assembly
CAGAAUUAAACACAUUUAUGUACAGAAUCCAUCCUCAUGUCGCUCUCCAGCCUGCUCUGGGUGUUCCUGGCCAUCGCCUUCUCUGGAUCUUGUGUGGCCCAGAAAGUUACUCAAGACCAGUCAGACAUAAUCAGCCAAGUGGGACAGUCAGUCAUUUUUAACUGUCAGUAUGGAAUAGGUUGGUUCACAUACUACUACUCCAUUUAUUGGUACAAGCAGCUUCCCAGGGGACAGAUGACUCUCCUUAUUCAUCAAAAUUCAGAACACGGGAAUGCAGGGAAUGGCCGCUACUCUGUAAACUUCCAGAAAGCAUAUAAAUCCAUCAGCCUCACCAUUUCAGCCUUACAGCUGGAAGACUCUGCAAAGUACUUCUGUGCUCUUAGGGAGCUCUCAAGUAAAAGAACAAAGAGAUAUUCACAGUGCUUGAAGUAAUGGGAAAAGCCGUACAAAAACCCCAGAGCUUAAUACGAGAGUUCUGCUGCUGCAGGACCCCAGCUGAAAUGCACACCUGCAGACCCCAGACAAGAAAU